CAUCGAAGUGCUGAUAGAUUAGUCAGGAAAAAGAGUUGCUGCCUUCAUCUCCCCUUGUGGGCUUUGGCCUCUUUCUCCCAAUUGUCCUUUGGCAGAGGUGCAGAACGCUGAUGAGAUACCCCUUGGACUCCUUCCAGAAGAGUCUCCCAUUGAGGCAAUUAGGUGAGAGCUGACGACAAUUUAGCGAGCACGCAGCGAUGCCAAGGGUCUCCCGGAUCAAGAGAAGCAAAAUAUGCUGAAAUUCAAGAACUGGGCAUGAAUGACUGUGUCACUCGCCAGAGCUGAGCCACCUCCAAGCAGUGAGCCAGGCCAAUCAUGUGAGGCCCUGCCACCUUCAGACAGUGUCCUGUCCCCCUUCACCAGGAACAAACAGAGGACGGCCUGUCGCCUCUCAGCUCCCUGCCUGCCCUCAGACUUUCACAUACUCUUUAUCGAGUUUUACAGAGCUUUUCUGACUCUGUAACAAACAGUCAAAUAAAAAUGCUGUGUUCCCAAAACUAGAAAAUGUUCUCCAUCUGGACUUUUCCCAGGGCCUCAAAUUUACAUUGUUGAAAUUCUUUAUCCCAUGCUGCCCUCCUCACCAGCCUUUUUGAAAUGGAUAAUUUACCAUUAAGGAAAAUCUGCACUUUAUUAUAUAAAUAGUAAAAGUACUGUGCUUAUUUAACUCUCAAAAGAA
This 676-nucleotide long non-coding RNA is filed under the name Homo sapiens (human). RNAcentral describes it as "HSALNT0201013". Lineage: Eukaryota; Metazoa; Chordata; Mammalia; Primates; Hominidae. The record is from RNAcentral.